GACGAACGCUGGCGGCGUGCUUAACACAUGCAAGUCGAACGCUGAAGCUCAGCUUUUGUUGGGUGGAUGAGUGGCGAACGGGUGAGUAACACGUGAGUAACCUGCCCCCUUCUUUGGGAUAACGCCCGGAAACGGGUGCUAAUACUGGAUAUUCACUGGUCUUCGCAUGGGGGUUGGUGGAAAGGGUUUUUCUGGUGGGGGAUGGGCUCGCGGCCUAUCAGCUUGUUGGUAGGGUGAUGGCCUACCAAGGCUUUGACGGGUAGCCGGCCUGAGAGGGUGACCGGUCACAUUGGGACUGAGAUACGGCCCAGACUCCUACGGGAGGCAGCAGUGGGGAAUAUUGCACAAUGGGCGCAAGCCUGAUGCAGCGACGCCGCGUGAGGGAUGGAGGCCUUCGGGUUGUGAACCUCUUUCGCUCAUGGUCAAGCCGCAACAAUGGUUGUGGUGAGGGUAGUGGGUAAAGAAGCGCCGGCUAACUACGUG
RNAcentral lists this ribosomal RNA (483 nucleotides) under uncultured bacterium. RNAcentral's name for it is "partial 16S ribosomal RNA". It matches the Rfam family "Bacterial small subunit ribosomal RNA", at positions 28 to 507 of the family's 1533-position model. The record is from RNAcentral.